GUCCCAUUGAAAAGCUCUCUUAAUCAAACCCAAUUAAUUCCGCUUUUUUCCCUUAUUAUCCUUUGCAAGGAACGCGUCUUUCCAAUAAGACUGUUAACUCCAGCCGUGGCGCUUUCAGAUCUACUCGGGUGCAGGAGCAAAAUAAUAGACUGCACAAUUAAUCAAUUAGUCAUUAGGGUUUCAGUUGUUCCUAAUGAACACAGUUGCUGUGUAGAAGAGGGGCGUUAGAGAGGCCUCAGAGUUCCUCGUCUUUCUGUUUGGAAAUGUGUCUACAAGUUGAAUUCUUUGACUUUCACCGCUGUCCUGCACAAGAAAACUCAAAAGGGUUCAGAUGAAAGAACUUUAUGAAGUUUUUAUUGUUACACUACUGAUCACGUUGGGAUGAUGUUUCUGAUUCCUGUUUCUUUUAGGAUCAGGGAGUCUGGACAUGACUGACAUAUUAUCAAAAAGAGUUUCUUUUGGUGUAUUUUGGUAACUUACGUGAUCAAAAGAUUGGCUUCAGUCAUUUAAUUGACUUCCUGAUGUGUCACCUGUGUUCCUGGUAAUCGGCUGGUAAUGCAGAGAGGUUUGCAUGAUUAGGUCCUGAGACGUUAACUGGGGCACAGAAGAGGUAGAGGACAGUUGGAGGAAUUUAAAAAGAUCCUGCAAAAACUUCCAUGUUUCAUCUACUGGCUUAUCCAUAUGGUCCUUGAAGUCUGCUCAGCCCUCCAUCUGUCCGGGACAGUGUCUCACAUGCUGAGGAGCCCAGCGAGCACGGCGGCACCGGCCCUCUGUGAACAUGUGUUGCAGCGGCUGAACCUUGCAGCCUGCCUGCCUGCCUGGGGGCAAUUAGGGAGCCGAGCCCUGUGGUCAGAGGCCCCCCUGGGAAGUCCUGAUUGAUUGGAGUCUCAUCUUCCUAACAGGCUGGCAUCCUGCCACAAACCCAUGGAAAAGCAGAGAGGAUUGAGAGGGGUAAAAAGAAGGAAAACCAUGACAGAGAGAGAGACAAGGCGCACAAGUGUUUGCAGCAAAGAAAAAAAAUGUCUCUGCUCAUGUAUGUCAGAUGACAACGAUUAUACUGUAGUAAUCUUGGAUUGCUCUAGUAGUCUUAGGGAGGUUAAAAAACCCCACAGUGACUGUGGGAAUGAGUGCAUAGGUCAACAUGAAAGCACUGCAGUGAGAACGCGGAGAUACAAUUUCUAUCAAACUAUAUUUAUUUUCAGUAGAUCUCCAUUUGUUCCAGAAUAUGAACAUCAACAAUCCGGACAAAAUCCAAAAGAAAUAAAACAACGAUAUCACUAAGACAGACAUAACUAUCUUCUGUACAUUUUCACAGAUAAUAAUAAAAAUAACUAAAACUAGUGCAAUGUUGUCUGU
Long non-coding RNA from Oreochromis niloticus (Nile tilapia), 1356 nucleotides. RefSeq lists it as uncharacterized. Lineage: Eukaryota; Metazoa; Chordata; Actinopteri; Cichliformes; Cichlidae. The record is from RefSeq and is a predicted model, not a curated record. The transcript has 2 exons.